UCCUUGACCCCUGGCCUUCCACCUUGCCACGUUCCCUGGAGGCCCCGAAUCUGUGCAGCAGCUUUGUUUAGUAAACACCGUGGGGGAGGGUAAAGCAGCACAUUGGAGCGGCACCUUUGUACAAAGCCACGGUUUUCCCAGGGCAACGUGGCAGGCUGAGGAAGUACUGGGGCUGGGAAGGUCAGUGCCACCUGGGACUUGCCAGGUUCUGCCCUGUGUCCCCAAGGAAGGUUCUUGGUGUGCCUCCAGGAGAGACUGAGUAUUGCCCAAGUUAGGUGCGGCUAAGCAGGGCCAUUCUUUGUUCUUGUGUGAGCGUUGUCACGCAGGCAGCAAGCCAGAGGCACCCCUGACAGUGGGCACUGCUGCAGAAAAGAGGGUGAUUCUGGCCCAACUUCAUCCUCUCUCCCAGCCCCACAUACCUUUGAAUCUCCAGGAAUCCUAAACUCUGGGAGUUCCCCCAGCAGGUAGCAAAUCUAGGUAAUACUGGAUUAUUCCUGAAGAGGUCAAGACAAACCAAAAGCAUGUCCAACAUCAAACUCAAUCGUGAUAUCAUGCUUCUACCAAAACUACAGUGGGGGAAGUACCAAGUGUAUGGGCAUCUUUCUGACUGAUCACCUGGUCUCUGACCAUAAGCAGACUUCAUUGCUACAAAAGAAAGGAAUUUGAUUUUCACUGGAAA
Long non-coding RNA from Marmota monax (woodchuck), 679 nucleotides. RefSeq lists it as uncharacterized. The record is from RefSeq and is a predicted model, not a curated record. The transcript has 3 exons. NCBI's taxonomy places the organism in Eukaryota, Metazoa, Chordata, Mammalia, Rodentia, Sciuridae.